RNAcentral lists this unclassified non-coding RNA (240 nucleotides) under soil metagenome. RNAcentral describes it as "partial contains 5.8S ribosomal RNA, internal transcribed spacer 2, and large subunit ribosomal RNA". The record is from RNAcentral.
AACAUCGCGCACCUGCGGGAACCUGCGGAAGGAUCAUUAAUGAUUGGUGGCUGUUGCUGACUAGUGUUUCUAGUAUGUGCACGCCACACCUUCAAUCCCACUUACACCUGUGCACCUUCUGUAAUAGAUCUAUGUGGAUACGGAGAUAUGAAAGUUUGCGCUCUCGUACUCUGUUGAAGCAGUCUACUACGUUUUUUUACACACACACAAUAGCCAUUGAAUGUAUUUUUUAUUCUUAUG